GAUGCUGCUGUGCACUGUGGCUUCUGACCACUUAUUCAUCGAUCAGUCAAAGCAUAUGAUGCAAAUGAUCUGCUAAUCACUAGCAAGAAAGUCGAGUGUGCUGGAGCAGUAGAGAAAGCCAGCUGCCAUUGCAGCUUCGGCAGCAGAAGAACAAAUGUAGAACAGUAGUUCCCAAAGUAGAGCCCAUGGACCUGUAGGGUCCCCAAGACAUUUUCAGGGACUCCAUGAGGACCCUGGCUGAAGCAGCAGUGACUCCUUGGAGCAGACUCCUCUCAUCUCAGAAGAAAGAGAUUCAAGAGUGCUGUGAAAAUCCAUGCUGGGAUGUCUCUUGGAGCCUCAGCCUAGACUAGCGCACUGUCACUUCCACCCAUAUUCUAUUAAUCAAAGCAUGGCCAAGCCCCAAAGCCAAUGAGUGGGAUACAUACUCUGCUCACAGAAGGCCUUGCAAAGUCAUGAGGCAAAGUACCUGGACACAUACUCCUGUUGCAGGGAGGGGUGAAGAAUUGGAAGCCACAACAGCAGCAUUCUCAUCAGGAUUCGUCACCCCAGAACUCUCUGCCACAGCCAUGGGACUGUAAGAUUCACUGUCCCAGAUCCACAUGUUUGUACGGUUUAGGUUUUGGGAUUACUCCAGAGUUCCACUGCUUUUCAUCCUCAACUAUUUGUUUCCUAUAACUAGCUCCAAUCAAACCGACUUCUAAUGGCUGCUUGGGAAAGCUCUAGGAAGGAGUCAGUGAGUCUCACGCAGAUUAACCAGUCCCUUAAUUCAUUUUCAAACGCAGUAACUACCUCCUGCCGUUGCAAACACUAGCACCUAAAACCAGCUCUACUCAAGAGUCCAGGUUAUAUAUAAUUCCUUGUUCACAUCUGGCCCUCCCCACGAGGCCCACAUUUCCUUCCUUUCUGCCCCAAAGUCAACCCUUUACAUGAUUACUGAGACCAUAACGCUUCUUCUUUUCCUUUUUUCCUGUUCACUCUUUGGUUUGUUUGGUUUCGGUUUUUGGUUUUUUUGGUUGUUGUUUUUUUGUUUGUUUAUUUGGUUGUUUUUUUCUCCCAGCAAAAGAAUGUUAGACUCUGUACAUGGGGAUGAGGUUGCUCAAUAUUUAUGCGACAGUCAUACAGUCGUAUGUAGGGUGGGAAGGACUUGUCACAAAGAUUAUAACUAGAACUGAGGUACUUAAUCAAACCAUGGAUUUGGAUAAGAUCUCCCAAAGAGAGUGUGAAGAUAAACCUUUUUUUAAUCUUGCUUCCUAUUGAUAGCAACAACAGCAAAAUCCACACUCUCUUCAAAUGGUUACCAUUCAAUAAUGUCACUUUCGAUGAGCCUGGCAUAUCACUUUAUCUUCACAGUGACAGACACAGAGAUCACAGGCAAACCAAGACCAGUGUGUGGAGGGCCCCAGAGGAGUUUUCGAAAAGGGAAUAACUUGUCCAAAAUCAGAGGUCAAACAAGAAUACGAAUAAAAAGCAUCAUUGACUUUG
Long non-coding RNA from Felis catus (domestic cat), 1482 nucleotides. RefSeq lists it as uncharacterized. The record is from RefSeq and is a predicted model, not a curated record. The transcript has 2 exons. NCBI's taxonomy places the organism in Eukaryota, Metazoa, Chordata, Mammalia, Carnivora, Felidae.